GAUGAACGCUGGCGGCGUGCCUAAUACAUGCAAGUCGAGCGAACGGACGAGAAGCUUGCUUCUCUGAUGUUAGCGGCGGACGGGUGAGUAACACGUGGAUAACCUACCUAUAAGGCUGGGAUAACUUCGGGAAACCGGAGCUAAUACCGGAUAAUAUUUUGAACCGCAUGGUUCAAAAGUGAAAGACGGUCUUGCAGUCACUUAUAGAUGGAUCCGCGCUGCAUUAGCUAGUUGGUAAGGUAACGGCUUACCAAGGCAACGAUGCAUAGCCGACCUGAGAGGAUGAUCGGCCACACUGGAACUGAGACACGGUCCAGACUCCUACGGGAGGCAGCAGUAGGGAAUCUUCCGCAAUGGGCGAAAGCCUGACGGAGCAACGCCGCGUGAGUGAUGAAGGUCUUCGGAUCGUAAAACUCUGUUAUUAGGGAAGAACAUAUGUGUAAGUAACUGUGCACAUCUUGACGGUACCUAAUCAGAAAGCCACGGCUAACUACGUG
RNAcentral lists this ribosomal RNA (497 nucleotides) under uncultured bacterium. RNAcentral's name for it is "partial 16S ribosomal RNA". It matches the Rfam family "Bacterial small subunit ribosomal RNA", at positions 28 to 507 of the family's 1533-position model. The record is from RNAcentral.